This 441-nucleotide ribosomal RNA is filed under the name uncultured bacterium. Its description in RNAcentral is "SSU rRNA". It matches the Rfam family "Bacterial small subunit ribosomal RNA", at positions 26 to 518 of the family's 1533-position model. The record is from RNAcentral.
AGAGCGAACGCUGGCGGCAGGCCUAACACAUGCAAGUCGAGCGCCCCGCAAGGGGAGCGGCAGACGGGAGAGUAACACGUGGGAACGUACCCUUUGGUUCGGAACAACACAGGGAAACUUGUGCUAAUACCGGAUAAGCCCUUACGGGGAAAGAUUUAUUGCCAAAGGAUCGGCCCGCGUCUGAUUAGCUUGUUGGUGAGGUAACGGCUCACCAAGGCUACGAUCAGUAGCUGGUCUGAGAGGAUGAUCAGCCUCACUGGGACUGAGACACGGCCCAGACUCCUACGGGAGGCAGCAGUGGGGAAUAUUGGACAAUGGGCGCAAGCCUGAUCCAGCCAUGCCGCGUGGAUGAUGAAGGCCCUAGGGUUGUAAAGUCCUUUCGACGGGAAGAUAAUGACGGUACCGUAGAAGAAGCCCGGCUAACUUCGUGCCAGCAGCCGC